ACUUUUUAAGUAUUAUUGUAUAGUUGCCUUCCAAGCAAACGGUCUGCCACGCAGAAAAAGUA
RNAcentral lists this transfer RNA (62 nucleotides) under Pholoe pallida. RNAcentral describes it as "tRNA-Gly". Lineage: Eukaryota; Metazoa; Annelida; Polychaeta; Phyllodocida; Pholoidae. The record is from RNAcentral.